Molecule: long non-coding RNA, 377 nt
Filed under: Pan troglodytes (chimpanzee)
Lineage: Eukaryota; Metazoa; Chordata; Mammalia; Primates; Hominidae
Description: long non-coding RNA NONPTRT003564
Source: RNAcentral
GAAGUUUGAUAAUAUAGCCUUCUAAGGAGCUGUGUUUUUCUUGAAAUUUGAAUACAUCUGGCAAGACAACUUCAAGUACAGAUGGACCCAAAUUCCCUGGAGAUAAAAGUUCAACAACACAAAAUAAUAACCAGCAGAAAAAAGGGAUCCAGGUGUUACCUGAUGGUCGGGUUACUAACAUUCCUCAAGGGAUGGUGACGGACCAAUUUGGAAUGAUUGGCCUGUUAACAUUUAUCAGGGCAGCAGAGACAGACCCAGGAAUGGUACAUCUUGCAUUAGGAAGUGACUUAACAACAUUAGGCCUCAAUCUGAACUCUCCUGAGUAAGUUUUUUCUGUUUUUCCAUGUCUGUAUAUAAUACCUCUUCAGACUUCCAGU